GUUACAGCAGCCGCGGUAAUACGUAGGGUGCGAGCGUUAAUCGGAAUUACUGGGCGUAAAGCGUGCGCAGGUGGUUAUGCAAGACAGAUGUGAAAUCCCCGGGCUCAACCUGGGAAUUGCAUUUGUGACUGCAUGGCUAGAGUGUGGCAGAGGGGGAUGGAAUUCCGCAUGUAGCAGUGAAAUGCCUAGAUAUGCGGAGGAACACCGAUGGCGAAGGCAGUCCCCUGGGCCUGCACUGACACUCAUGCACGAAAGCGUGGGGAGCAAACAGGAUUAGAUACCCCAGUAGUCC
RNAcentral lists this ribosomal RNA (292 nucleotides) under uncultured bacterium. Its description in RNAcentral is "partial 16S ribosomal RNA". It matches the Rfam family "Bacterial small subunit ribosomal RNA", at positions 505 to 796 of the family's 1533-position model. The record is from RNAcentral.